This 465-nucleotide ribosomal RNA is filed under the name uncultured bacterium. RNAcentral describes it as "partial 16S ribosomal RNA". It matches the Rfam family "Bacterial small subunit ribosomal RNA", at positions 29 to 507 of the family's 1533-position model. The record is from RNAcentral.
AAUGAACGUUGGCGGCGUGGAUUAGGCAUGCAAGUCGAGCGAGAACCCCGCAAGGGGGGACAGCGGCGAAAGGGACAGUAAUGUGUAGAUUAUCUGCCCUCAGGUCCGGGAUAGCUGCGGGAAACUGCAGGUAAUACCGGAUAACAUCUCCGGAUCAAAGGUGUGAUUCCGCCUGAGGAUGAGUCUGCAUCCUAUUAGCUAGUUGGUGGGGUAAUGGCCUACCAAGGCAUUGAGGGGUAGCAGGUGUGAGAGCACGACCUGCGUCAUUGGGACUGAGACACUGCCCAGACACCUACGGGUGGCUGCAGUCGAGAAUCUUCGGCAAUGGGCGCAAGCCUGACCGAGCGACGCCGCGUGUGGGAUGAAGGCCUUCGGGUUGUAAACCACUGUCAGAGGGGAUGAAAUGCAGGUGGGUUCUCCCAUCUGUUUGACAUAGCCUCAGAGGAAGGACGGGCUAAGUUCGUG